RNAcentral lists this ribosomal RNA (939 nucleotides) under uncultured archaeon. RNAcentral describes it as "bacterial SSU rRNA". It matches the Rfam family "Archaeal small subunit ribosomal RNA", at positions 21 to 903 of the family's 1478-position model. The record is from RNAcentral.
CCCGACUGCUAUUUGGGUGAGGAUAAGCCAUGCGAGUUGAAUGGGAUACCUAAAUUUCCCAUGGCAAACUGCUCAGUAACACAUGAUCAACUUACCCUAUAGAGAAAAAUAACCUCGGGAAACUGAGGAUAAUGUUUCAUAGUUGAAUAGGCUUGGAAAAGUUUUUCAAUAAAAGGGAUAAAAAAAAUGGUUUUUAUCCGCUAUAGGAUAGGAUCGUGGUCGAUUAUGGUCGUUGGUGAGGUAAUGGCUCACCAAGCCGAUAAUCGAUAGGGGCCGUGAGAGCGGGAGCCCCGAGAUGGGUACUGAGACAGCGACCCAGGCCUUACGAGGCGCAGCAGGCGCGGAACCUCCGCAAUACACGAAAGUGUGACGGGGUUACCCAAAGUGUUCAAUUUUGAACUGUGGUAGGUGAGUAAUGUUCCCUACUAGAAAGGAGAGGGCAAGGCUGGUGCCAGCCGCCGCGGUAAAACCAGCUCUUCAAGUGGUCGGGAUAAUUAUUGGGCUUAAAGUGUCCGUAGCCGGUUUAGUAAGUUCCUGGUAAAAUCGGGUAGCUUAACUAUCUGCAUGCUAGGAAUACUGCUAUACUAGAGGGCGGGAGAGGUCUGAGGUACUACAGGGGUAGGGGUGAAAUCUUAUAAUCCUUGUAGGACCACCAGUGGCGAAGGCGUCAGACUGGAACGCGCCUGACGGUGAGGGACGAAAGCCAGGGGAGCGAACCGGAUUAGAUACGUCGGUGCUAGAAUAAUAAAAUAACUAACACCAUGCUAAAAACCCGGGUAGUCCUGGCCGUAAACGAUGCAUACUAGGUGAUGGUACGGCCAUGAGCCGUAUCAGUGCCGUAGGGAAACCGUUAAGUGUGCCGCCUGGGAAGUACGGUCGCAAGGCUAAAACUUAAAGGAAUUGGCGGGGGAGCACCACAAGGGGUGAAGCCUGCGGUUC